Molecule: ribosomal RNA, 511 nt
Filed under: uncultured bacterium
Lineage: Bacteria
Description: bacterial SSU rRNA
Rfam family: Bacterial small subunit ribosomal RNA
Source: RNAcentral
UUAUGGCUCAGGACUGAACCGCUGGCGGCGUAGCCUAAUACAUGCAAGUCGUACGAGGGAAGUCCAGCUUGCUGGACGGAACGAGUGGCGAACGGGUGAGUAAUACGUAAGCAACCUGCCUGCAAGGACUGGGAUAACACCUGGAAACGGGCGCUAAUACCGGAUAGGUAACAAAGGGGCAUCCCUAUGUUAUUAAAGGUUGAAACACAAGCAGAUGGGCUUACGGUGCAUAGCUAGUUGGUGAGGUAACGGCCCACCAAGGCGAUGAUGCAUAGCCGGCCUGAGAGGGUGAACGGCCACAUUGGGACUGAGACACGGCCCAGACUCCUACGGGAGGCAGCAGUAGGGAAUUUUCGGCAAGUGGACGAAAGUCUGACCGAGCAACGCCGCCGUGAGUGAAGAAGGUUUUCGGAUUGUAAAGCUCUGUUGUAAGGGAAGAACAGCACGGAAAGAAUCCGUGAAUGACGGUACCUUACCAGAAAGCCACGGCUAACUACGUGCCAGCAGCCGC